This 585-nucleotide ribosomal RNA is filed under the name Triticum aestivum (bread wheat). Its description in RNAcentral is "partial small subunit ribosomal RNA". The record is from RNAcentral. Lineage: Eukaryota; Viridiplantae; Streptophyta; Magnoliopsida; Poales; Poaceae.
UUCAAGGAAGAUGCCCAGUGGUUGGCGAUCGCAAGGGUCAAUACGGACAUGUCCUUUAGCUCGUCUUCCCUGUUCGAUACUAUGAAGUUCGUCUGGGGUCUUGCACAAACGCCGAAGUUUAGAGAGGCAGUAUUGAACAGAUUUAUCUUCCAGAUGUUCUGUCUAGGAGAUUGGAAGAAAGUAGUCCAUGAAGGCCCUAGGCUCUUUCGUAACUAUGCAGUGGUGAUUGAGGAUUACGAUGGGAAAUCUGAUCCCGAAGAAUACGCCCUAGAUGGUGUGUUCCUAUGGGCGCAGAUCCACAAAGUUUCGGAACUUUAUCGUCAUCCAGAGGUGGUGGACGAGUUAGCGCGCAAAAUCGGGAAGAUUAGGGAGGUUCAGCUUUGGCCUACCCUAGACUAUGAAGGGGACUAUGUGAGAGCUAGGGUCCGGGUUCUGAUGGCAAAACCAUUGACAAGAUUUACUCCUCUUAAUGUUGAGGGAGAGGGGAGGAAGAUGCUGGUAGUAAAAUAUGAGAAUGUCCCGUUCUUCUGCAAAAUUUGCGGAAUCAUGGGACAUGGCUUUGAGGAAUGCGGUAAUGGCAUAUGA